This 483-nucleotide ribosomal RNA is filed under the name uncultured bacterium. Its description in RNAcentral is "partial 16S ribosomal RNA". It matches the Rfam family "Bacterial small subunit ribosomal RNA", at positions 28 to 523 of the family's 1533-position model. The record is from RNAcentral.
GAUGAACGCUGGCGGCGUGCUUAACACAUGCAAGUCGAACGGUGAAGCAGAGCUUGCUCUGUGGAUCAGUGGCGAACGGGUGAGUAACACGUGAGCAACCUGCCCCGGACUCUGGGAUAAGCGCUGGAAACGGCGUCUAAUACCGGAUACGAGAUUCCACCGCAUGGUGAGUUUCUGGAAAGAUUUUUUGGUCUGGGAUGGGCUCACGGCCUAUCAGCUUGUUGGUGAGGUAAUGGCGCACCAGGGCGUCGACGGGUAGCCGGCCUGAGAGGGUGACCGGCCACACUGGGACUGAGACACGGCCCAGACUCCUACGGGAGGCAGCAGUGGGGAAUAUUGCACAAUGGGCGGAAGCCUGAUGCAGCAACGCCGCGUGAGGGAUGACGGCCUUCGGGUUGUAAACCUCUUUUAGCAGGGAAGAAGCGAAAGUGACGGUACCUGCAGAAAAAGCGCCGGCUAACUACGUGCCAGCCGCCGCAGUAA